Molecule: ribosomal RNA, 650 nt
Filed under: Backusella lamprospora
Lineage: Eukaryota; Fungi; Mucoromycota; Mucoromycetes; Mucorales; Backusellaceae
Description: eukaryotic LSU rRNA
Rfam family: Eukaryotic large subunit ribosomal RNA
Source: RNAcentral
AAGAGCUCAAAGUUGGAAUCCGGCUGCCCUAGGUAGUUGGAGUUGUAAACUGGAGAAGUGUUUUCCAGGCGAGCCAAGCGAAUAAGUCCUUUGGAACGGGGCAUCAUAGAGGGUGAGAAUCCCGUCUUUGGCUUGAGCUAUUCGUCUAUUGCGAUACACUUUCAAAGAGUCAGGUUGUUUGGGAAUGCAGCCUAAAUUGGGUGGUAAAUCUCACCUAAAGCUAAAUAUUGGCGAGAGACCGAUAGCGAACAAGUACCGUGAGGGAAAGAUGAAAAGAACUUUGAAAAGAGAGUUAAACAGUAUGUGAAAUUGUUGAAAGGGAACCGUUUGGAGCCAGACCGGCCGUUCUAUAAUCAAUCUCUGCCUCGGUGGGGAUGCACUUGUAGGGCGUUGGCCUGCCAACAGCAAUUUUGCCUGAUGGAAAAAACUAGAAGGAAUGUGGCCCCUCGGGGUGUUAUAGCCUUCUGGAAAAUACAUCGGGCGGGAUUGAGGACUGCAGUAAAUGCUCUUUAGGGCGAAAUACCUGGGCGCUUGUGUUGAUGACGUGUAGAAUCUCUGCUUCGGGUGGUGCUACGCUCUGAUGUGCAACUCGCUUAGACUAUUUUCUAUUUUUUUUUACUUAGGUUGUUGGCUUAAUGACUCUAAAUGAC